CAGUAGCCGCGGUAAUACGAGGGGGGCAAGCGUUGUUCUGAAUUAUUGGGCGUAAAGGGUGCGUAGGCGGUUUGGCAAGUUUGGUGUGAAAUCUUCGGGCUCAACUCGAAGUCUGCAUCGAAAACUGCCGGGCUUGAGUAUGGGAGAGGUGAGUGGAAUUUCCGGUGUAGCGGUGAAAUGCGUAGAUAUCGGAAGGAACACCUGUGGCGAAAGCGGCUCACUGGACCAUAACUGAUGCUGAUGCACGAAAGCUAGGGGAGCAAACAGGAUUAGAUACCCCCGUAGUCCCUGUCUCUUAUAU
RNAcentral lists this ribosomal RNA (301 nucleotides) under uncultured bacterium. Its description in RNAcentral is "partial 16S ribosomal RNA". It matches the Rfam family "Bacterial small subunit ribosomal RNA", at positions 509 to 809 of the family's 1533-position model. The record is from RNAcentral.